CCUACGGGAGGCAGCAGUGAGGAAUAUUGGUCAAUGGACGAGCGUCUGAACCAGCCAAGUAGCGUGAAGGAUGACUGCCCUAUGGGUUGUAAACUUCUUUUAUAUGGGAAUAAAAUGUUCCACGUGUGGGAUUUUGUAUGUACCAUAUGAAUAAGGAUCGGCUAACUCCGUGCCAGCAGCCGCGGUAAUACGGAGGAUCCGAGCGUUAUCCGGAUUUAUUGGGUUUAAAGGGAGCGUAGGUGGAUUGUUAAGUCAGUUGUGAAAGUUUGCGGCUCAACCGUAAAAUUGCAGUUGAAACUGGCAGUCUUGAGUACAGUAGAGGUGGGCGGAAUUCGUGGUGUAGCGGUGAAAUGCUUGGAUAUCACGAAGAACUCCGAUUGCGAAGGCAGUUCACUGGACUGCAACUGACACUGAGGCUCGAAAGUGUGGGUAUCAAACAGGAUUAGAUACCCUUGUAGUC
Molecule: ribosomal RNA, 460 nt
Filed under: uncultured bacterium
Lineage: Bacteria
Description: partial 16S ribosomal RNA
Rfam family: Bacterial small subunit ribosomal RNA
Source: RNAcentral